Molecule: long non-coding RNA, 969 nt
Filed under: Sparus aurata (gilthead seabream)
Lineage: Eukaryota; Metazoa; Chordata; Actinopteri; Spariformes; Sparidae
Description: lncRNA (ENSSAUG00010022916.1)
Source: RNAcentral
UUCCAUUCAAAGUUCUGUAAUUUCCACACUGUGUUCAGAGUGUCAGCAGCUGUACAGUGAGUCGGAACACGACAACAGCCUGCUGCAACGCCCAGAGAGCAUAACUAAACAAACAAGAACCAGUGCAGGAUGGGCUCUGUGUCAAGCACAGAGUCCCAGCUGGUAUCGCAAGACCAUCUCUGACUUCCAUGUAAAAGAUAAUUUUAUUUGUACCCCCCUAUGUGCUACGUGUCUUUUUUAUGUGCCCCUACAAGAUAGAACUGCUUCUGUAAACAGUACUAUAAUUUUUUCAGCACCUGUAUUCAACAAAGCAAAUGGGUAAGAGCCUUCCAUUGGAUAAUUGCUGCAGUGAUUAAUUUGUCUCAGCAGCCAACAACUAAUUUCUGUAACGACCAUGUCAGAAGACAUAUCCUGUGGUUUUGGGAAGGGUCAAAUUAUUGGCCCACAUCAAGCAAAGAAAACAUCUAAGGAGAUAGUGUUGAACCAUCCUCUUCCAGGAAGAAAUGUGGUUGAAAAAUCGGAGACCACUUAAACGUUUUGUGACAUCGAAAUGGUAGAAACAGUAAAAUCUAUGUUUAAUAGUGAAAGUAAGAUCAUUUCCACACACAGUGUGAAGAGAGCUCAAGAUAUUGGGACUAAACAGCCUCAAGAAAACCACCUAUCAGUGAGGCUGACUACCUGAAUAUACUGAAUGAGCAGGUUUUUCCAUUAGUGUUUUUUUUCUUCCCUGAUGAAAUGGGCAUAUUCCAAGAUGACAAAGCCCCAGUUCAUCGGGUUCAAAUUGUGAAAGAGUGGUUCAGGCAGCAUGAGGCAUCACAUCACAGAGUCCAGACCUUGACAUCAUUGAGAAUCUUUGGGAUGUGCUGGAGAGGACUUUACACAGCGGCAAUGGAAGUGCAAAGUAGCAGAACAUUGAAAUACUCAUGUCAGCUUUCCACCGCUGGGAGGAGGAGGUUUUCAAGUGCUUAA